AAUAAAUCACAGCGUAAUUCCGAAUUCAAUUAGGAGAACGCAUCCAUUUAUCCAGCCGAACGAUCGCAGUUUUUCCUCAUCAGAGUAUCAACCGCAUCUGAAUAUGAAGGAAAAGGCACACGGCUGCUGUCGGUUUUAAUAAAGCAAAUUGGUUGAUAGCCGCUUCGUUCGCUAAUUCCAGUCGCCCCACCGCCUCGUAGAUACGAGGUGCGUAUCCGUGUAAUGUUAUAAACCCGUACGCUUAUAAUCGGACCUACGUUGCCGAUUACAUCUGUCAUUUUUCGGGUAAAUGCGAAUAAUCGAACGGUAUCGCACAUCGUACCGAAAUCCUUAUCAGCUGUGGAAACGUAGGGCAGUUGUUCCCGGAUUGGUAAUUGAGGAAACGCAACGACCGAGAUAAGAAAAGUGCAAUAUGCUGCACAGAUAAUUUUAACGACAGUCGGUUACAUCUGAGAACGAGGUAGUGAGGAGCGUGAUACAAACGGCGGAAUCUAAUCGCCAAUUUUAUCUCAUUCAUCUCGCGCAUUGACAUCGGGCGGCAGCACCGAGCAGCAUCCGAACUCUUCUCUCGCAGUGGCGGGUCACGGAUCACGUUUCAUCUCCAUUUGAAAGACGUCGGCGAACCGGGAUCGUGUAGGUAAUUCCAGCGAAAUUUUUGAGGGACAAUAUUGUUUCGUUUAUUUUUUGUUAUUAACGUGCAAACGUAUACCACAAUAAAUUCAUCGAAAUCAAGAUCCCGAUUGAUUUGAUAGCAGCAAUCAGAAGCUAGUAAAGCAAAGUACCAUGAAAUUAUACCUUCGACCGUCACCUCGAAAAAGAAGACCUCGAAGCCUUAUUUGAUGAAAUUAUUUUUUGCAUCAUUGUACCGAUCGUAAAAGCAAACGCGUACGAACUGUAAGGUAACAUGACAAACGGCAACGGCAUCCAAAGCCAAGACCUCAAAUCGCUGAAAAACUUUGCUGAAUUUCCCCCUUCCCGGUGUUUGCAGAAUGCACACCGCUGCAACAACACGAUAAAUCCUCGCGUGGACAUUUUUACGUUCACCUACAGAUACAUUUGUAUUAUAUCGACGUUAUUCGCAGCUAUUGAAUAUUUAUGGCACGUGGCGAACGAAUCCCAGGUGUCGGCCGAAGGCCUCUUCAUUCAGUCUAGACGCACGUGAAACGCGUGCAAAAUAGAUACCACCUUGUCUUUGAAGCAUCCGGUGAACGUAGUCCGUAUGGUUCGAAUUGCAAUUCCUUCUACACGUCCGGAUGCCUGUAAACAUAUAUUUCUGUACUCGCACACAUACGGAUAUACGAUAUUCAUAUUGCCGGCCUCAGAGUCGAGUGGGGGAGGGGUAUAGAGCGAAAGCCACUCGCGUAAUUCAACGUGCGCCAUUAGCUCAGAGAACGACAUUGCAAUCAGAUUUCGAGUUCGUCGGUCGGACGACGAGUCCGUGGGAUUAUUCCGACUCGUAAUUAUGCUAAGGGAAUUCGUCGGCGUUUGCAGAGAUGACGCGAAAGCCAGCGAGGAGAUCCUCUUCGGGUGUGCGGGUUGCGUGUACAGCAGCUUGCAAUUAUCGAAAUUGCGAUCUCCCCGCUCUCUACAGCAUGGCCCUGAACUUGACCCUGUACUUGCAAUUUCUGGAACGGGGAGUCUGAAAACUCCUGGCGCACGAGGUCAGGGAGACCUAGAUGAUACUAGAAAUAAAUAUACAGGAUUGAAGGCAUGCACAUGAUGAGGCACAUGAGCGUCUCGUAGGUAGAUCCUCCUUUUCCGAGGCAGCGGCAGUAUGGCCUGAGCAGCCGGAGCGACGUUGUCAUCGGGAGCGACAUCGAUGGUAGCGAGUACAUCCUUUGAGAAGAGAGAGGAGAAGCCAGCGAGGAGAGAGAGACACGUAUUUGGGUGAGGAUUAGCAAUGGAUUAGUACGCAGUUACUACAGCGCCAUAAAUUUUGUUGACAACGAGUCCGGUGUCCAGUUUUGAUCCAGCCGUGACUCGGGAAGUAGUGUUUCGUUUGAUCUACAUAUUUUAAAAAAGUGCUUGACAAUCGGUAGCUAGUGAAAAAACUAUAUCAGUGGAAAUUUCGUGAAUUCCGUUACUCGGAGAUUCUUCCAUAAGCACUGGUCUUCCGUCUUGGAUACAACGGCAGUUCAGCUUCAGCGGCAGAAGCGGCGACUUCAGGAGCGACAUCAGUAGCAACGCAGUCUCCUUAGAGCGACGAUGGAGAGAGGCAACGGUCGCAGCUCCUCCAACAUCAUUGCCCGGACUCCCCCUGUUCAUCGGGGGGAGUCCACCGUCCCCUGGGACUGCGCGGCCUCCCACCGCCCCCGGGGUCCCAGGGGACCCAGUCCCCGAGGACAUGUCU
Molecule: long non-coding RNA, 2350 nt
Organism: Athalia rosae (coleseed sawfly)
Lineage: Eukaryota; Metazoa; Arthropoda; Insecta; Hymenoptera; Athaliidae
Exons: 5
Source: RefSeq, a predicted model, not a curated record